This 687-nucleotide ribosomal RNA is filed under the name uncultured bacterium. RNAcentral describes it as "bacterial SSU rRNA". It matches the Rfam family "Bacterial small subunit ribosomal RNA", at positions 105 to 788 of the family's 1533-position model. The record is from RNAcentral.
GGUGAGGAAUUCGUCGGAAUCUGCCUUUUUGUGGGGGAUAACGUAGGGAAACUUACGCUAAUACCGCAUACGACCUACGGGUGAAAGUGGGGGACCUUAGGGCCUCACGCAGAAAGAUGAGCCGACGACCGAUUAGCUAGUUGGUGGGGUAAAGGCUCACCAAGGCGACGAUCGGUAGCUGGUCUGAGAGGAUGAUCAGCCACACUGGGACUGAGACACGGCCCAGACUCCUACGGGAGGCAGCAGUGGGGAAUAUUGGACAAUGGGCGCAAGCCUGAUCCAGCCAUGCCGCGUGUGUGAAGAAGGCCUUCGGGUUGUAAAGCACUUUUGUUCGGAAAGAAAUCUUCCAGCUUAAUACGUUGGGAGGAUGACGGUACCGGAAGAAUAAGCACCGGCUAACUUCGUGCCAGCAGCCGCGGUAAUACGAAGGGUGCAAGCGUUACUCGGAAUUACUGGGCGUAAAGCGUGCGUAGGCGGUUUGUUAAGUCUGAUGUGAAAUCCCCGGGCUCAACCUGGGACGUGCAUUGGAAACUGGCGAUCUAGAGUACGGUAGAGGGUGGUGGAAUUCCCGGUGUAGCAGUGAAAUGCGUAGAGAUCGGGAGGAACACUCGUGGCGAAGGCGGCCACCUGGACCAGUACUGACGCUGAGGCACGAAAGCGUGGGGAGCAAACAGGAUUAGAUACCCU